CAGUAGCCACGGUAAUACGUAGGGUGCGAGCGUUGUCCGGAAUUACUGGGCGUAAAGAGCUCGUAGGCGGUUUGUCGCGUCGUCUGUGAAAUUCUGCGGCUUAACUGUAGGCGUGCAGGCGAUACGGGCAGACUUGAGUACUACAGGGGAGACUGGAAUUCCUGGUGUAGCGGUGAAAUGCGCAGAUAUCAGGAGGAACACCGGUGGCGAAGGCGGGUCUCUGGGUAGUAACUGACGCUGAGGAGCGAAAGCGUGGGUAGCGAACAGGAUUAGAUACCCCAGUAGUCCCUGUCUCUUAUAC
This 301-nucleotide ribosomal RNA is filed under the name uncultured bacterium. Its description in RNAcentral is "partial 16S ribosomal RNA". It matches the Rfam family "Bacterial small subunit ribosomal RNA", at positions 509 to 807 of the family's 1533-position model. The record is from RNAcentral.